UACGUAGGGUCCGAGCGUUGUCCGGAAUUAUUGGGCGUAAAGGGCUCGUAGGCGGUUUGUCGCGUCGGGAGUGAAAACACGGGGCUUAACCCCGUGCCUGCUUCCGAUACGGGCAGACUAGAGGUAUGCAGGGGAGAACGGAAUUCCUGGUGUAGCGGUGAAAUGCGCAGAUAUCAGGAGGAACACCGGUGGCGAAGGCAGGUCUCUGGGCCGAUACUGACGCUGAUGCACGAAAGCGUGGGGAGCAAACAGG
RNAcentral lists this ribosomal RNA (253 nucleotides) under uncultured bacterium. RNAcentral's name for it is "partial 16S ribosomal RNA". It matches the Rfam family "Bacterial small subunit ribosomal RNA", at positions 524 to 776 of the family's 1533-position model. The record is from RNAcentral.